GUGGGGAAUAUUGGGCAAUGGGGGAAACCCUGACCCAGCAACGCCGCGUGAGGGAAGAAGGUUUUCGGAUUGUAAACCUCUGUCCUUGGUGACGAAGGAAGUGACGGUAGCCAAGGAGGAAGCCCCGGCUAACUACGUGCCAGCAGCCGCGGUAAUACGUAGGGGGCGAGCGUUGUCCGGAAUGACUGGGCGUAAAGGGCGCGUAGACGGCUGUCUAAGUCUGGAGUGAAAGUCCUGCUUUCAAGGUGGGAAUUGCUUUGGAGACUGGAUGGCUUGAGUGCGGAAGAGGUAAGUGGAAUUCCCAGUGUAGCGGUGAAAUGCGUAGAGAUUGGGAGGAACACCAGUGGCGAAGGCGACUUACUGGGCCGUAACUGACGUUGAUGCGCGAAAGCGUGGGGAGCGAACAGGAUUAGAUACCCCUGUAGUCC
Molecule: ribosomal RNA, 428 nt
Filed under: uncultured bacterium
Lineage: Bacteria
Description: partial 16S ribosomal RNA
Rfam family: Bacterial small subunit ribosomal RNA
Source: RNAcentral